GGAGAGCUGUCCGAGCUGGCCGAAGGAGCACGAUUGGAAAUCGUGUAUGCCCCAAAAGGGUAUCUAGGGUUCGAAUCCCUAGCUCUCCGCCA
RNAcentral lists this transfer RNA (92 nucleotides) under Eggerthella sp. CAG:368. RNAcentral's name for it is "transfer RNA-Ser(GGA)". It matches the Rfam family "tRNA". From Rfam's summary of the family: Transfer RNA (tRNA) molecules are approximately 80 nucleotides in length. Lineage: Bacteria; Bacillati; Actinomycetota; Coriobacteriia; Eggerthellales; Eggerthellaceae. The record is from RNAcentral. RNAcentral also lists the same sequence under 1 other name.